GGGACAGAGCCCCCCCUCCUGGGGGCGCUGCUGAGCCCGACACCCUGCUGGAUAUCCCUCAGGGCAUCAGGAGUCUGUUCAAUUCCUCCAGCUACUGAUUGGCUUCUCUGAGCCUGCUUUUGGCACAGAAUUAAAAGGAAAAAAAACAACAACAAGAAAAACAAAUAAGAGCUCUGUGUCUUCCUGCCUCUGCACAUCAACAGCCCUAAGUUUUGAUACAGAAGAAAGACAUCCAGGCUUCCGGGCCGGGGACUCCAGCUCGAGCCUUAAACCCAGAGGACGUCUCCAAUGACUCAUUACUGGAAUAAAUGUUGCUAAUGUGAAAGAUCUUGCAGCACCGAGUCCUGUGAAUGAAAGCCAGAAUGACUCGUCAUUCGGGAGGAGAGCUCACACUGCUCGUCUUAUUUAUGUCUGUGUAGGCAUGUAUUUGCCCAUGUUGGGCUCUGGAAAAAGCCGUGCUUCCUUACCAUUGCUCAUCCAUGUAAGGUGGACAUAGUUCUAGGAAACAGAUGAGCAAAGUCCACACUGACUCAGAAAGAGAAUGGAUUUGAAUAAAUGCUUCAGAAAAUGUCUACAUUAGUCACACACACGUAGAUAGGCAAGCUCACGGGAGGCAGGGGCCCUGCAGAAGCCCCCCUGUGGCACCCACCAGGCAGCGUCUCCAGCCCCUAGUUCAGCAUCUUAAGAAGGAGG
Molecule: long non-coding RNA, 693 nt
Organism: Myotis brandtii (Brandt's bat)
Lineage: Eukaryota; Metazoa; Chordata; Mammalia; Chiroptera; Vespertilionidae
Exons: 3
Source: RefSeq, a predicted model, not a curated record